RNAcentral lists this ribosomal RNA (496 nucleotides) under uncultured bacterium. RNAcentral's name for it is "partial 16S ribosomal RNA". It matches the Rfam family "Bacterial small subunit ribosomal RNA", at positions 28 to 506 of the family's 1533-position model. The record is from RNAcentral.
GAUGAACGCUGGCGGCGUGCCUAAUACAUGCAAGUCGAGCGAACGGACGAGAAGCUUGCUUUUCUGAUGUUAGCGGCGGACGGGUGAGUAACACGUGGAUAACCUACCUAUAAGACUGGGAUAACUUCGGGAAACCGGAGCUAAUACCGGAUAAUAUUUUGAACCGCAUGGUUCAAAAGUGAAAGACGGUCUUGCUGUCACUUAUAGAUGGAUCCGCGCUGCAUUAGCUAGUUGGUAAGGUAACGGCUUACCAAGGCAACGAUGCAUAGCCGACCUGAGAGGGUGAUCGGCCACACGGGAAAUGAGAAACGGCCCAGCCUCCUACGGGAGGCAGCAGUAGGGAAUCUUCCGCAAUGGGCGAAAGCCUGCGGGAGAAACGCCGGGUGAGUGAUGAAGGUCUUCGGACCGUAAAACUCUUUUAUUAGGGAAGAACAAUUGUGUAAGUAACUGUGAACAUCUUGACGGUACCAAAUAAGAAAGCCACGGCUAACUACGU